This 468-nucleotide ribosomal RNA is filed under the name uncultured bacterium. Its description in RNAcentral is "partial 16S ribosomal RNA". It matches the Rfam family "Bacterial small subunit ribosomal RNA", at positions 28 to 507 of the family's 1533-position model. The record is from RNAcentral.
GACGAACGCUGGCGGCGUGCUUAACACAUGCAAGUCGAACGAAAAGGCCCGGCUUUUGUGCGGUGGUCUGGGGGCGAACUGGGGAGUAACACGUGAGUAACCAGUCCCUGACUGUGAGGUAACUUCAGGAAAGUUGGGCUAAUACCGCCUAGGAUCUAUUGCUUCAGGGUGGGGGUGGGAAAGUUUCGGCGGUUGGGGAUGGACUAGCGGCUUAUCAGCUUGUUGGUGGGGUAGUGGCUUACCAAGGCUUUGAGGGGUAGCAGGCCUGAGAGGGUGAGCGGACACACUGGACCUGAGAUAAGGCACAGACUACUAUCGUACGCAGGAGUGGAGAAUAUUGCACUAUGGGAGGAAGCAUGAUGUAGCAAAGCCGCGUGCGGGAUGAGGGGCUUCGGGUUGUAAACCAAUGUCGCCUUUGCCGAAGCGUGAGUGACGGUAACGGGUAAAGAAGCACCGGCUAACUACGUG